GCUAUUUCAGGUUGUUAAGGUACCUGAUAUGUAAGUAAUACAUCUUCCUCACACCAGUAUUACACACAUUGAACUGUAAAUUCUUCAUAGUGGUAGAGUUUUAGAGCUGGAAGGAGUUGUGGAAACUGUAGACAACUCAUUUGACAGAGUACCGGAGAGGACGGCUUGCUCAGAAUCGCACUGCUUGGUGAUGGCAGAGGCUGGGGGUGAGCAGAAGUGUCCUCCCUCACUCAGUGCUGUGCUCUGUCACACCACACAGACGCAACUCAAGAUGGAAAACCUGAAAGAAUCAUUUCUUGGCAGGACACGAACCAAGACUCAGAGAGGUGAAGAGACUGGAAGAACAAGGUAGCCCUGGGGACGAGAAAGAGGAGGAGAAAGAAAUGACCCAGGACAGGCUGUUCUGGGGACCACCCCCAUCCCGACUACAGGGGGAGGCUUUUGUACCCAAGAAAUUGUAUCCGUGACUGAGGAUACAAUUUAUAUCCCACCUCCACCCUUUAUAUGAAAGGAAUAAAGUAAACAUGUUUUUAGGCUGCAACAUGGGGGGAAAU
RNAcentral lists this long non-coding RNA (554 nucleotides) under Homo sapiens (human). RNAcentral describes it as "HSALNT0178461". The record is from RNAcentral. Lineage: Eukaryota; Metazoa; Chordata; Mammalia; Primates; Hominidae.